AGCGAACGCUGGCGGCAGGCCUAACACAUGCAAGUCGAACGAACCUUUCGGGGUUAGUGGCGGACGGGUGAGUAACACGUGGGAACGUGCCUUUAGGUUCGGAAUAACUCAGGGAAACUUGUGCUAAUACCGAAUGUGCCCUUCGGGGGAAAGAUUUAUCGCCUUUAGUGCGGCCCGCGUCUGAUUAGCUAGUUGGUUGAGGUAAUGGCUCACCAAGGCGACGAUCAGUAGCUGGUCUGAGAGGAUGAUCAGCCACAUUGGGACUGAGACACGGCCCAAACUCCUACGGGAAGCAGCAGUGGGGAAUCUUGCGCAAUGGGCGAAAGCCUGACGCAGCCAUGCCGCGUGAAUGAUGAAGGUCUUAGGAUUGUAAAAUUCUUUCACCGGGGACGAUAAUGACGGUACCCGGAGAAGAAGCCCCGGCUAACUUCGUG
Molecule: ribosomal RNA, 434 nt
Filed under: uncultured bacterium
Lineage: Bacteria
Description: partial 16S ribosomal RNA
Rfam family: Bacterial small subunit ribosomal RNA
Source: RNAcentral